GUCGCCGGCGCCGUGACCGUUGGCAGAAAGGGAUGACCAAAAAAAAAUUAUAGAAUAAGAAAAGAGAAAAAAAAAUAAUGACAAAAAAUUAUAGAAAAAAAAAAGAUGAAGAUGAAAUUACAAUGUUAAAAUAAAAUUGUACUGUUUUAAAGAACGUUACACUAUUAUGGAUAUAAGUUGCACUACUUAAGAUAUAAACCGCAUCCUUUAAGAUAAAAAUUACACUCUUUGAAAGAUAUUUAUACUGGUUCUUCUUUUAUUACACUCUUUGAGAUGUAAACUGUAUCCUUUAAGAUAAAAAUUAUACUUUUUAAAUGAAAAUUACACUCUUUGAAAAAUAUUUAUACUAUUUUUUCUCUUUGUUGCACUGUUUGAGAUGUAAACUGCACCCUUAAGAGAUAUUUACACUGUUUCUUCUUUUGUUGCAAUGUUUCUUCUCUUGUUACACUGUUUCUUCUCUUUGUUGCACUCUUUAAGAGUAGAAACAGUGCAAUAAAAGAAGAGACAGUACAACACAAGGAGAAACAGUGCAACAAGAGAAGAAACAAUAUAAAUAUCUCUUAAAGUGUACAGUUUAUAUUUUAAAGAGUGCAACAAUAGUAGAAACAGUAUAAAUAUCUCUCAAAGAGUGCAAAUUUCAUUUAAAGAAUAUAAUUUUCAUCUUAAAGAUUGCACUUUAUAUCUCGAAGAGUGCAAUAAGAUGAGAAACAGUGUAAAUAUCUCCCAAGUAGUGCAAUUUUCGUCUAAAAAGUAUAAUUUUCAUCUUAAAGAGUGCAGUUUACAUCUUAAAUAGUGCAACUUAUGUCCAUAAUACUGCAACGUUUUUUAAAACAGUACAAUUUUAUUUUAAUUGUGCAAUUUAUCUUCAUCUUUUUUUUUCUAUAAUUAUUUAUCUUUAUUUUUUCUUCAUCCUUCUUCUAUAAUUUUUUUUUGUCGUCCCUCUCUUCCAGCGGCCACGGCGCCGGUGACGACGCCGCUAAGAACCCCACACUCCGAGGUUGCGGCGCCGCAGCAACCUCAGCAGCAUCGGCGUCAGCGAAGAUGCGUCGUCGUCAAAGGCGGUGGAAGAGGAGGGAGAGGGAGAGGAUGAGAAAGGCGGGAAAAGACGAGAGAGGGCGAGCGAGAGUGAGAGAGGCGUCGUCGUCGGAGACGGUGGAGGAGGGUUGGAAAGGGGAAAAA
Molecule: long non-coding RNA, 1179 nt
Filed under: Ananas comosus (pineapple)
Lineage: Eukaryota; Viridiplantae; Streptophyta; Magnoliopsida; Poales; Bromeliaceae
Description: long non-coding RNA (ACOM_LNC041512)
Source: RNAcentral